Molecule: ribosomal RNA, 483 nt
Filed under: uncultured bacterium
Lineage: Bacteria
Description: partial 16S ribosomal RNA
Rfam family: Bacterial small subunit ribosomal RNA
Source: RNAcentral
GACGAACGCUGGCGGCGUGCUUAACACAUGCAAGUCGAACGAUGACGACCGUGCUUGCACGGUCUGAUUAGUGGCGAACGGGUGAGUAACACGUGAGUAACCUGCCCCCCACUCUGGGAUAACCUCGGGAAAUCGGGGCUAAUACCGGAUAUGAGCUCCUACCGCAUGGUGGGUGCUGGAAAGUUUUUCGGUGGGGGAUGGACUCGCGGCCUAUCAGUUUGUUGGUAAGGUAAUGGCUCACCAAGGCGAUGACGGGUAGCCGGCCUGAGAGGGCAACCGGCCACACUGGGACUGAGACACGGCCCAGACUCCUACGGGAGGCAGCAGUGGGGAAUAUUGCACAAUGGGCGAAAGCCUGAUGCAGCGACGCCGCGUGGGGGAUGACGGCCUUCGGGUUGUAAACCUCUUUCAGUAGGGAAGAAGCGAAAGUGACGGUACCUGCAGAAGAAGCGCCGGCUAACUCCGUGCCAGCAGCCGCAGUAA